Molecule: long non-coding RNA, 2626 nt
Organism: Lytechinus pictus (painted urchin)
Lineage: Eukaryota; Metazoa; Echinodermata; Echinoidea; Temnopleuroida; Toxopneustidae
Exons: 2
Source: RefSeq, a predicted model, not a curated record
GGGCACUGCUGAGCCUGAGCCUGAGGCGCUGGCUGGACAAUUGGGGGCCAACCGGAAAACAGAUUGGAAUUUAAUUUACUGUAAAUAUUUAAGUAAUAUGAGACUAAAUCACCUGUCCUGUAUGAGUGACUUUCUCCGCCGAACAACACAGCCUUGUUGAACUCACAAUUGGUUGCCUUACAGCCGAAAAACGGGCUAAACUGGAUGAGUUUGCUCUCAGAAAAAGUGACCUGAGCGCCGCCAUGUUGAAUAUUUUUCAUCCUUGUUCGCAAAUGUGUUGUAAUUGCAAAAUUUAGUUUAAAAAAUCUGACUUAUUCAUUUCUUCGAUUAACUUAAAAAAAUGUUAUCUCAACUAAAAAUAUAUAAAUGUGGAUCAUUUUCCAUCAGGCCUAUCGAGUAUUCUGUUUUUACAAGAUAAAAACCGUAAGGUCAUUGUUAUGCUCGACCAACAUUAGGCCAUUACCAUUAUCAACGCAUGCAAUUCUUAUACACACAUAUCGAAUGGGGAUAUCACAAUAUAUUGUGAUGCAAUCAUACAACUUGCGCAGGAGCUAAAUCCCCGCACAGUACCGGUAUAGUAUAGUGUGAGUGGGCUACAUGACUGACACACUGGACUGGUCUGCAGCUGCAAGCACUCUAAAGUUAAACAGCUAAAAAGUCUGAGCUCAGCCAGGCCAGGAAUAGAGUUGUUUGUGCAAAGCAAAGUUCGAGCUCAUAAUUAAUAAUGAUCUAAAUGAGCAGCUCAUCUGACUUGAAACUAAAAGAAAAGAAAACAAAAACCCAGCUAAUCCAACAUGACAAGUGUAUUCCUGAGAACUCUGAGCUUUGGUCCUAGGUAUUGGAUAGUCUCGCCUCUUCUGCAUAGGCCAGCUGCACGUUGCCUAGCAACAUGGUAUCCAAAUAGACAGGGCAAGAUGACACCACAGUCAUGGACAAAGAGGUUAUCGGCCUCGGAUAGCUCAAAUGAUUUGGGUUCUGCUUACAUAGCAACCCCUGCACCACUUCUUCAGCUUGUCAACACAAUGAAAAAGAAGUCGGCCAUCAAACGAAGAUGUAAAGAUUGCAAAAUAGUGAUCAAGGACAAGAGAGCGUACGUCAUAUGCAAGACAUCACCCAGACACAACCAAGUCCAGGGAUAGCAAAAUUUCAUGUUGAGGAAUGGACUGCAGCUGUGAAAUACAAUUCAGAGAACGCUUGAUCGCAUUGAUAUUAUUUAAGGAAGUUUGUCGAUCAUCUUCAUCAAGUCAGUAUAGUCGAGUGUAAGAUUUGACCAAACAUGUCUCCAAAUGCAAGGUACAGGUGCUCUGCUUGAGUAAACUCUGUUGACUAGUAACAACACCUGGUUUGUCAAGUCUGUGCAAAAUAUGUUCAUCUUUAAAGCAAUUAUGUAACUUUUAAGAUGAUUUAUACAAUUUAUGCAGACUUUACUAUCUUUUUAAGAUAUCCUUUUUUUGUAACUGAUCAUGAAAUAUUAUUUGAUUCAAUUCUGUAGUGUUACGCUAAGUGUUAAAUUGCAACAAUUUACAACAAAAAGAAAUUUAAAAUCCAUCCAUUUAAAGUUGGGCGACAGUAUACCUACUCUUCAGGUUCUUUGUCAGUUUUCAAAGCAUAAUUUAAAUAUACUUUGGGGGAAUUCCAAUUAUAAACUUUUUGUACCAAAAUAAUAAAGAAUGUAUAUGAUUUGGGACUUUCACCAAAAUUUUGAAUGAGUUAUAUAUACUGCACAAAGUAGUGCACUAAUGGGUCUACUCUCCAUACAAAUAUAUGGUCCAUGAUCAUCAGCUGUUUUUCAGGUCAUAGCUUGAAUGGGACGGCAUCUUGUCUCUUGUGCAGUGUACCUUUCUACAUUCCUCCUAAAUAUAGAGAGAAUGGAAAGCUCACACUUGUUUCUUUCCCGCAAUUAUGUUCCGAUUUCAUUCUGGACAAAGAUGAUUUCAUUUCAGAUAGGCCAAUGAGCUAAACACAGAAUUUAUAAAGUAGAGGAGACUAAAAUGAGUUGCAUUGAUUUGAUUGCUUAAAUUGUAGGGGUUGAUGCAAGUAUUCCUAUUUGCAAUAGAUUACAAAUUUCGAUUGGAGUUUUAUGAUUGAUAGAUUAAUUGUAUAAAACUUCAUCAAAUCAUCAUACUAUCUGCUGCUAGAUGCAGCCAGCAAUGGAUUGCAAAUAAGUAAUUAAUUGCAAGACUUGUCAAUUGUGAUUCAUUUUGUACCUAAGACUGGCUUUUCAAAUGAUUGAAUUGUUUGAAUGAAUGAUUGUUUGAACAUAUCAUGUAACCAAAUGAAACAACCAAUUGUGAAAGAUACAGUAAGCAUAAAGAAAUGAUUUUUUUUUUUUUUGGGGGGGGGAGAAAUCUGCUACAAGCAUAGUUGUUUUGGUAAUUGAUAAUCCCAUAUUUCUAUGGUGUACUAUCCUGGAACACAAUUAUUCACCAAACUUUUACUCUCACUUUUCAGAGGAAAAUUUAGCAAAAUGGAAAUGUAGUUUUGUCAGAAUGUUAUCACAAUCACAUCAUAUGGUUUGCUAAAUUACUACAUUCAUAUGUCAACCUUAACUUGUGUAGAGUUUGAAAUAAUAAAGUUAUAAUUACAUGAUUCAUUUGUCGUGAAUAAAAAGAUAAUUUUAUUGCAA